Molecule: ribosomal RNA, 253 nt
Filed under: uncultured bacterium
Lineage: Bacteria
Description: partial 16S ribosomal RNA
Rfam family: Bacterial small subunit ribosomal RNA
Source: RNAcentral
UACGGAGGGUGCAAACGUUGCUCGGAAUCAUUGGGCGUAAAGCGCACGUAGGCGGCUUGUUAAGUCGGAUGUGAAAGCCCUCGGCUCAACCGAGGAAGUGCAUACGAAACUGGCAAGCUUGAAUAUGGAAGAGGGUCGCGGAAUUCCCGGUGUAGAGGUGAAAUUCGUAGAUAUCGGGAGGAACACCAGUGGCGAAGGCGGCGACCUGGGCCAAUAUUGACGCUGAGGCACGAAAGCGUGGGGAGCAAAACGG